UCUCCGUUGGUGAACCAGCGGAGGGAUCAUUACUGGACUCGCAAGACUCCUUCACCCUGUGAACCUCACUACAAGCACGUUGCUUCGGCGGGUGUCCCGGCGGGGGUUUUCCCUCGCCGGGGCGCACAGCCCGCCGGCAGCCUACUAUACUCUGUCUCUUUGCGUUGGCAUCUCGAGAAAAAACAAACAAGUUAAAACUUUCAACAACGGAUCUCUUGGUUCUG
Molecule: unclassified non-coding RNA, 224 nt
Filed under: plant metagenome
Description: partial contains small subunit ribosomal RNA, internal transcribed spacer 1, and 5.8S ribosomal RNA
Source: RNAcentral